GAUGAUACGCAAGCCUGAUACCCUCCAGGCUGAAGGGAGCUCCGGGGACAGGCCUUCCCAGGCUCUUCUGAACCCUGUGGCCUUGGACUUUCCUUGCCUGGGCAUCACCCUAGCUGGCCACCAGAAGAAACUACUGCAUAACAUCCAGCUCCUCCAGCAGCACCUGAGGCAGCCAGGCUCGGUGGAAGUGUAAAGCCUGGUCAGCAAUCUGUGAGCUGCCGCUGAUGCCCCAACCCAGCCCUGGCCAUAGGGUGGAGGAGGGGCGUGUGAGACUGAGCCAGACUCUAUUCCAGCCUCCAUGCCUGCCACAUUAAACCCAGCCCUCUGGACAUUGCACCCCCAAAUCCUGCUCUUCCAACAGCCUCCCCCAUAUUAAAGGGAAAGA
RNAcentral lists this long non-coding RNA (385 nucleotides) under Rattus norvegicus (Norway rat). RNAcentral's name for it is "long non-coding RNA NONRATT020409". Lineage: Eukaryota; Metazoa; Chordata; Mammalia; Rodentia; Muridae. The record is from RNAcentral.